RNAcentral lists this transfer RNA (65 nucleotides) under Afronurus rubromaculatus. Its description in RNAcentral is "tRNA-Asn". The record is from RNAcentral. Lineage: Eukaryota; Metazoa; Arthropoda; Insecta; Ephemeroptera; Heptageniidae.
UUAAGGAAAGCCAAAAAGAGGCUUAUCACUGUUAAUGAUAGAAAUGGGAUCGUCCCCUUCUUGAA